Molecule: long non-coding RNA, 3340 nt
Organism: Equus caballus (horse)
Lineage: Eukaryota; Metazoa; Chordata; Mammalia; Perissodactyla; Equidae
Source: Ensembl
CUCAGAAUCUCUUUAUUACUUUCUGAAUAAUAUGACAGGAAUGUUCCAGAAAAGCCAUAUCAUCAGCAGUAUUCACAAUAAAAGCAAUUAAUUUCACCUUCAGGUUUAUAUCAGGGUGAACUAUGGUACUCAAAGUCAUGGCCCAGUAAAUUACAAGAGUUAGCCACACAAGGCUGGGAUUCCGUUAGAAGACUGGCUGAUGAUUCUGUAAAAUUUACCUCUCCAAAACUACUAGGCUCCUAGGACUACCAUAAUAAAUUAUCACAAACUGGGUGGCUUGAAACAAUGGAAGUUUAUUCUCUCUCAGUUCUGGAGGCCAGAAGUCCUAAAUCAAGGUGUUGGCAGGACCACACUCCCUCUGAAGGCACUAAGGGAGGAUCCUUCCUUGCCUCUUCUGGCUUCUGGUGGCUCCCAGCAUUCCUUGGCUUGUGGCUGCAUCACUCCAAUCUCUGCCUCUGUCUUCACAUGGCCUUCUCCUCCUUCUGUCUUCUCCUCUUCUGUCUCUUACAACACCACCUGCCACUGGAUUUACGGCCCAUCUGGAUAAUCCAGGAUGAUCUCAUCCCAAGGUUCUUACCUAAUCACAUCUGCAAUGACCUUCUUUUCAUGUAAGGUCACAUUCACAAGUUCCAGGGGCUAGGAUGUGGACAUAUCUUUUGGGGGGCCACAAUUCAGCCCAAUGUACAAAGUGUACUCUGGACUUCCAGGUCUUUACAAAACCUUAAGUACUUGAAAAUAGCCCAUAUUUUCUUCCAUGCUUUAACGCUAAUAUAAAGAAGAGUGAGGAGAUGCUUCUUCCUUCUGCUUUAUAUACCAUCGGGAAGACAGCUGACACAGGCCUCAGAGGUGGAUGUCAGGAGUCUGGUGCAAGUGUGCCCAUGCCAACUGCACACGUGUAGGCAAUUUUAAAAGCAUGUUUUUCUAAUUAUACUGUUUACACUUGAUUAUACAUACACAGCUGAAAAAGUCUAGUUUUCACAUCACCUGCUUAGGCACAGUGACUGCGUUUUCAGAAGCAAAAAUCUACAAAUGCUUUUAUGUAGAUUCCAGAAUAGAAUGUUUUGGGGAAAACUAUCCAUGUUAAAAACAAAAAGCCUCAUACUAGUUGUGGGAUCUAGGGCAAGUUAUUUAUAAUCAUCCUGUGUUCCAGUUUUCCCAUCUGUAAAAUGGCAUCAUCAUAAAAAGCCUACUUCACAGGGUUGUUAUGAGGAUUAAAUAGGUUAGUAUCUGUAAAGCAUUUAAAACAAUGCCUGGCACAUUGUAAGGGCUAUAUAAGUUUUAUCACAUUGUUUUAAAAAGCCAUAAUUAGAAAUCACAGUAAAUAUUGAAGAGAUUCAUUUACAAACACAUUCAAAGCAUGCACAUCAAUUGAAGUUCUUGAUUAUAAGCAACAGAGAUGCAGACAAAAUCUUUUAGGAAAUGAAUGUUUGUAGAAUAACUGGGAAGGGUCAAAAAAUGGUUGGAGCCAAGGGAAACUGGGCAGCAGACUAUGCAGCCACAAGGACCUAGAAGAAACAUCACUGAACCAUUCUGCCCAAUCAAUGCCGAUUUAGAAAGCAUAAGGUAAAAAGCAUAUACAAAAAUAAACAUUUUAAGUGGAGCUUUGGACUUGUCAUUAUCCACUGUGUUCUUAGAAAUACCAGUAACAUAAGUCCCUCUUUUUAUCGGAUAAUAAGUAUGUGAUGGAAGGUUACUUACUGGAAGGUACUGGAGUAUCUCAAUUAAACUUAGCCAACAACAGCUCCUAAACUCCGCGUCUUACAAAUUUUCUCUCUGUUCUAGCUUGAAAAUCUUGCAAAGAACUCAGAUUUGCCCGGCUUGCACCCCUUUACUCAGAUGCACACCCUAAACUAGUCAACUGGGGUGAGCAGAGAGUCAUAACAAACCCCGGGGCUCCUGCCAGAGACACGGUUAGCAACGGAAACACAGCUACUCCAGAAGAUACUGCCAAGCAGACGUGGCACAGCUGAGCUGUACUCAUUCACACUGUAUCCAUGUUGAAUGCAGAGACUACCUCAUGAAGGAAAACACGUCCCUAUACAUAUGGAGUUCUAAGUGAGGCCAAGAGACCGGAACGACAUGAGUAGAAAAGACAGAAAACAGGGGAAGAGAGAAAUAAGUAAAAGAGAAAAAACAAGGAACGCACAAAAAUGUAACUAGUAAUCACCUUCUACAGUGCAAAUCACAAGAAAAUAAGCCAAUAUUUGUUCUAAAUUUAUUUUUCUGGUAAACGAGGUAAAAUAGAAAGUAUAAAGACUUAGUCCAAAUUCUAACAGGGCUGUCCGAUGAUCUGUGAUGAACUGGAUGCCAGUCCUGUAGGACUGAAGGUUCCCACAUGCAAGACUAAAUGAUAACAGGCAUGAUUUAUACAGAGGCAGGUAAAAUUAAUAGUUCAUUUUAAAGUUUUCCCACAUUAAGGGUUAAAAUGAAAAUGGUUUUCCAGCUCUCGGAAAAGAUUCAGUUAAGCAUACAACGCCCUUUUUCAAAACACUGUGACAAACUGAAGUUUUUAUGCAAAAGUGUAUGGUGACAUUUCUGAAGUAUGUUUACCAGUUGGAGGGAGAGUUUAAGACAGGACUGUAAUCAAGCGAGUGGGAUUUUUGGCCUACUGCUAUCUUCCUCCCUCCACGAGGCAUAUACCAAGUUCAGUUCCCAAAGUACUACAAUAAAUACACCUAGUUAACUUUGUUUGACCAAGCGUUUCUCAAAUAUAUUUGGUCAGGGAACCCUUUUUAUUAUGACAUCUAUUUGUAUCCUAAGGAACUCAUGUUCUAAGGGACAUCCUUUGAGAAAUGCUGCUAUGUCGCAAAUAAAUACUGAGAUUCUAAGGGUGGUGAGUUGAGCAACAGCUGUGAUCUGUUUUAGUGUCUCUAAGGAAACUAGUAAGUGAGACAUAUCUUCUCAAAUGUUUUUUUUAUAGAAUGAGUAUUGUGUGCAGAAAUCCCACCCACCUUUCUUACAAAUCACGCUGAUGUAGAAAUGGGAAAAUGCUACAAGAUAGUAAUUACCACAGUACUGAAAACACAUACCAUAACAAUCCCACUGUAAAGCAUUUUAGAGAGGAUGAAGAGAAUGUUGACAUAAAAAGAGUAACUCUGAAAAGGUGAGCAUUACCAAGUGUCUCUGGUCUCUUAAAGCAGUCCUCAGAACUGGCCCGAAGGGGUCCUCUCCAAAUGACUGAGUUGACUCAGCUCACUCUCCUCAGGCCUCCUGAAUAGACGGCGUCUGGCGGACACAUGGGAGCUCAACCAGUCCUCCCCAGGAGAGCUGGAACCCUGCAGCAUCUAGUGCCUGUCUUUAGGGACAAUAUUUGUGCAAUCCUCCCCAACCCCAAGUCCUC